Cucurbita moschata (crookneck pumpkin) is the source of this 1812-nucleotide RNA transcript. It is a transcript of the gene named DNA-directed RNA polymerase III subunit 2-like, with no coding region annotated. The record is from RefSeq and is a predicted model, not a curated record. The transcript has 13 exons. Lineage: Eukaryota; Viridiplantae; Streptophyta; Magnoliopsida; Cucurbitales; Cucurbitaceae.
CAAAAGGCUUGGGGAAUGUUUUCGCUCUCUCCGAAACAAGUCGGUUUUCUUGUUCCUUCGAGUCUCGAUCUCAGAAGCCAUGGUUGUGAAGCCAUCGGGAGACGCUUCGAUGUUAAGCCAUCCGCAUUCUCUCAUUAUCUUCGUCUCUUUUGGCUGUAUCGAAGCUGAAUUGCAGUUUUCUGCCAUUGUUAGUUACUGAUCAGUUACUUGUUAACAUCAAAAAAAUUUGUAGGAACGGGAAGCAAGUCGACGAUCCUAAUCCAAUCGAUUCCGUUAACGAUAAGCAAUUCUUUGGCCUUCCUAUCAAGACAGCCGUCGAUAAGUUUCAACUUCUUCCUGAAUUUUUGAAGGUAAGAGGUCUGGUUAAGCGGCACUUGGAUUCCUUUAACUACUUCGCGAAUAUUGAGAUAAAAAAGAUUGUCAAGGCCAAUUACCUCAUUGACUCCAGCACUGAUCCGAGUAUUUUAUCCUAGGUUUCCAGAUGUAAGAAUCGGUGAGCCUUAUGUGACCGUGAAUGCUGUCAGUGAAACUUUCAAGCCUCAUACAUGCUGCUUGUCCGACCUGACGUACAACAGGUUGCCCAUUACAAGCGUAUAUAUUUAUGGGACCAAUUUACUACCAAAAGUUAAAACACAGGCUUGCAUAAUUUCAUGAUACAUUGGUCUUGGACAAAAUGCAUGCUAGAGGUAAUGGUCUGCGAGUCAUGUUAACUAGACAACCAACAGAAGGGAGAGCUAGGAAUGGAGGACUGCGAGUAGGAGAAAUGGAACGCAAUUGUUCGAUUGCUUAUGGUGCGCACGCUGAUUUUCGAACGCUUAAUGAUCUCAAAUGAACCUUUUAAAGUUCAGGUCCGCAGACUUUGUGGCUUGUUGGGAUAUUACAACCACAAGCUAACAACGGGAAUUUGUUCAUAUAUGCGUGCAAGCUCUUAAUCCAUGAACUUCAAUCUAUGAGUGACGUUCCUCGCUUAAAACUAGUAGAAGCAUGACCCGAAUCAAAGCCUUGAUUCAAACUAGUCAAGACUGUACAAAGACGAAAAUUUUGGCCCAGUCAUCCAAAUUGCAGACAGCUUUAUGCACGCUAUUCUGGAGAUUGCAUCACACAGGAUAAAAUGAGGCCUUUAGGUUCGCACAUGCACAACAAAAUGUCACCAGGAGGCAAAUGCAUUUCUGCGCAUCUAAAGCACAUAUUUUAGACAGAAAGAACAAUGACAAAGGGAAUCUCAUAUCAUCGGAAUUUUGGUUAUGCUGAUCAUCUACCAUCCAGAAUGGAACAAAAUUCGCAAGAAUUUAUUAGCCUGACGGGAGGAACAAUAUAGAGAUUGUACAGAAGACGGCCGAUUGUUGUCCGUCAAAGGAAGGAGCUCUCCCAAGUGCCCAUAUUCAGAUAUACAUAAGCUAGAUGGGGAAGAAAAGCAAUGGUGUUCUGAGCACAUUGGCAGAGCAACAGGGAAAAAGUUUCUAGAAAUUACAGUUGGUAGAAAGAAGGGGGCAACGAGUUUGAUGACUAACUAGUUGGAGCUUUCCUCGGCAUGGUUCAUACACAAAUUUGUAUUAACUGCAGUCGAGACAGUUUUCUGCAGUCAUGGUAUCAUACCGUUGUUAUUAACAGCUUAAAUAGUAUUCCAUGCUAUUUGUAAUGCUAAUGUCCAACAUUUACUAGAUUUAUCUGACAAUUGACAGAUACUGGAGAAAACCUAUUACACUUCUUCUUUAAGUGGAUGGUCUUUGAUAUGUCUCAUUCAAAAUAUUUUGGAUAGUAGCAUUGGGAAAAUCUCAAGACGGAGAUGUCCUUUGGACUUUUACCUGGUUC